RNA transcript from Dunckerocampus dactyliophorus (ringed pipefish), 3450 nucleotides. It is a transcript of the gene named galanin/GMAP prepropeptide, with no coding region annotated. The record is from RefSeq and is a predicted model, not a curated record. Lineage: Eukaryota; Metazoa; Chordata; Actinopteri; Syngnathiformes; Syngnathidae. The transcript is spliced from 2 exons.
AAAAAGCCCUUUUUUGUGUUCUUUAUGUUGUUUAGAUAUUUGAGCUGUCAGAAAAGCAAAAAAUAUUUGUGUCAGUCAAAUUUAUGCUUGAAAUGUAUGUUUUUUUCUGAUCAACGACAGGAGUCUAAUCUUUCUUUUGGUUGGUUCCAUCUCUAUAUAGCCAUAGAACACAAUAUUCUGUGUGCCUUGAAGCCAAAAUCGUCUAAAAUGGCCGGUACUGCAGGGGAUGUCUUUUCAAAAAUUGCUGGGAUUGAAUGAGUUAAAUAUAUUCUGAAAAAACCGUGAUAGAGUGAAGCCCUAAAACUAAAAGCGUGAUGUGGCGACAGACGACUGUACUGUGUAUGUAACAUUUUAUAUUUACAAUGUAGAUGAAAUAUUGCUGUGGUUAGACCAACACCUGACUGCAUGGGUUAUAGACUACCUCACCAACAGACCACAGUAUGUGAGGCUCCGUCACUGUGUGUCUGACAUGGUACUCUGCAGCACAGGUGCCCCUCAGGGUAUGGUGCUCUCCCCUUUCCUCUUCACCCUCUACACCUCGGACUUCACACACAACUCCACACAGUGUCAUAUCCAGAAGUUCUCCGAUGACACAGCCAUUGUGGGUUGUGUUUCAGAGGGGAACGAUCUGGAAUACAGGACGGUCAUCAGGGACUUUGUCAGCUGGAGUGAGCUUAACCAGCUACAACUCAACACCAGCAAGACAAAGGAGAUGAUCAUUAACUUCCAGAGGAAAACAUCUCACUUCACACCGGUGAACAUCCAGGGAGUGGACAUAGAGUUGGUAGACAGCUACAAAUUCCUGGGUGUUCACCUUAACAACAAACUGGACUGGUCCGUCAACACCCACGCCCUCUACAAGAAGGGCCAGAGUGGCCUCCACCUGCUGAGGAGACUGAGGUCCUUUGGUGUGUGCAGGACUCUUUUACGGACCUUUUAUGACUCUGUGGUGGCCUCAGCCAUCUUCUAUGCUGUGGGCUGCUGGAGAGGGGGCAGCACGGACAGGGACAGGAGCAGGAUCAAUAGGCUGAUCAGGAGAGCGAGCUCUGUCCUGGACAGUCCUCUGGACUCCGUGGAGGAAGUGGGGGAGAGAAGGAUGUUGGCUAAGCUGACAUCCAUCAUGGACAACACCUCUCACCCGCUACAUGACACUGUGGGUUCCCUUAGCAGCACCUUCAGCAGCAGACUGUUACACCCACGGUGUAAGAAGGAGAGGUUCCGCAGGUCCUUCAUACCGACCGCUGUCAGGCUCUACAACACCUGUACCACCUGAACCAUGUUGUAGUCAAUAUGUAUUCUUUACACUGUAUUCUUUACUUGCGUAUCUUGCUUGCUGCUGUAACAAGUGAAUUUCCCCGCUGUGGGAUAAAUAAAGUACAAAUACAAAUAGACAGUUACGAGGGCACAGAGUCAGACCUGAGGGCCAUGGUGUAGUGGUGAAUGGCUUCUUGGUACCGACUGUUGUCCUUCAGGAAGUUGGCAUAGUUAUAGUGGACUUUGGCAUUGUGAGGGAGAGUCUGGAUACCAGAACUGAAACAAGGAGGAGAGAAAAAUCAUUAUUUCAGCUCCAAAAUGGUUAAAAAAAAAAAAAAAAAAGAAGGAAUUUUACAUCAAAAAAAAAAAAAAAAAAAAAACUGUGAUUGUCAAUUGUCUUUUAUUUCAAUUACAUUAAACAUUUGAAUAGCACUCAAGUCACAGUAGAUCACAGACCUGGGCAUGGCCAGAAAAUUAUAAAAUAGGGAAAUAGCCAUCUCAUGAACAUGUCUAGAUUCAAUCAUGCAUUAAGUAAAUGUAGAACACUGCUCAAUAUUACAAUGUUAACAAAAGUCAUAUAUAGUUGCAGUUUAGAGUAUCAGGUGAUCUACCUGGAUCACAUAUUUUUUUGUUCUUUGCAUUGUCUAUAUUUGUUGGCAUAUAUAUGUGGAGUCAAAACACUGCCAUUAAGUUUCAGCAUUGAAAAAUGAAUGUAGCCAUGAAAAAGACGUACACGUGAUGUUCUUUAAUGUAACUUUCUUAAGCAUGUUCGAAAUAAAUUAAACCAUUACCAUAAGCAAUCUUACCUCAUCUCAUGUAUAUAAUGCAUGUACAGCAGUUGAAAAGAAGACUUCUAAUGGUGGAAUGCGGGAGCACAGAGUGCAGUGUACCUGUGCUGUUUAUUAUAUAUUAAUGUGACAAACAUACACACCUGAACAGGGCCUCCCUGGAGAGCCAGACUUGAUUCUGCUGCAAUGUCUUCCAGGAGAAGAGCAGGAGCAGGAGCAGCAUUGAGGCGCUAAGGACUGCUGUGCCCCAACGGCCAACCAAUGAACUAAGACGAUUCAGGCCAUGAACCACCAGGAUACAGUAACCCAUACUGCAGGAGGAGUUGAAUGAGCAAAUUUAUGGAGGAAGGGGAGAAAAAUAUGAGGCGACGUCAACACUUGCCACUUUGAAGUCAAACAUUGUCAUCAUGAGACUCCCAAGGACUUUUUCACACAUUUGAGGCAUGGCAUUCAUCCAGGCUUAAUUGAGAUCUCCACCAUCAAGUCCUUCCUCCUGCCAUGACCUGCAUUCAUCCAUUUGCAUUAAUGACGCACACAGUUGACCCGUCCACACAGGAUAUCAAAAAGAUCGCCCAGUAGCCGAGCCAAUUUCACCAAGAUGCAAACCUCCACACUACCCUUAGAACAGAGCAAAGGGGACCGACAAGCAGUGUCAUAGGGGAGAACAGCCAUGUCCAAAGACAUUACAGAUUGUCCAGUCAAAUGAUAACUACAUCAUAUCUUAACAUAAUGCAGCUUACAAUCACCGCCUAUCAGAUGAUGGCUGCGCCUCUGAAAGAAAGUGUGCGAGCCCUGACUGUGAUAUUAGGGCAUGCUAACUCUGGAGUAUCCUACAUUUCUCGCAGUUACAAAGGCACCUUGGAAUUGUUAGCAACGGCAACAAUUCUCAACUCAAUAAUAGCCAGACAUACUGCUAUCAGGAAGGCCAAAAUUCUAACUGGAAUUGUGCAGUACAGCUGGAACCACCAUGUGUUUGCCAAAAGGCAUUGCUAUACAGACCUGAUCAAAAUCUUAAGACCAGUUGAAAAAUUGCUAGAAUUUGCAUUUUGGAUCUUCAUUUGGAUCUUAAUGAGGUUUUAAGUAGAGCUACAAUAUGCAAAUUUGGGGAUGGAUGGCAAGAGAAGUUUAUAAAAAUGGCCAUCAGUUCCAGACAGUUGAUGCCCUUUGUGAAGCCAUCUUCACCACUUGGAGCAAUGUUCCCAAUAGCCUCCUGGAAACACUAGCAUCAAGCAUGCCCAAACCGAGAACGGUGGAGCUACUCAUUACUGAGUCCUACUGAGAAAAGUUUUUGUUCUGGUUUGGAGGAUUUUUUGGUAUUUUUUGAGCGAUGGUCUUAAACUUUUGAUCAGCUGAUAAACAGCCUAUUUCAGUUUUACUGUUGUUUUCAAUAAAUUAUUUUUUCAAAGUG